RNAcentral lists this ribosomal RNA (370 nucleotides) under uncultured organism. RNAcentral describes it as "bacterial SSU rRNA". It matches the Rfam family "Bacterial small subunit ribosomal RNA", at positions 526 to 896 of the family's 1533-position model. The record is from RNAcentral.
CGUAGGGUGCAAGCGUUAAUCGGAAUUACUGGGCGUAAAGCGUGCGCAGGCGGCUUUGCAAGACAGAUGUGAAAUCCCCGGGCUUAACCUGGGAACUGCAUUUGUGACUGCAUGGCUAGAGUGCGGCGGAGGGGGAUGGAAUUCCGCGUGUAGCAGUGAAAUGCGUAGAUAUGCGGAGGAACACCGAUGGCGAAGGCAAUCCCCUGGGCCUGCACUGACGCUCAUGCACGAAAGCGUGGGGAGCAAACAGGAUUAGAUACCCUGGUAGUCCACGCCCUAAACGAUGUCAACUGGUUGUUGGACGGCUUGCUGUUCAGUAACGAAGCUAACGCGUGAAGUUGACCGCCUGGGGAGUACGGCCGCAAGGUUG